RNAcentral lists this ribosomal RNA (253 nucleotides) under uncultured bacterium. RNAcentral's name for it is "partial 16S ribosomal RNA". It matches the Rfam family "Bacterial small subunit ribosomal RNA", at positions 524 to 776 of the family's 1533-position model. The record is from RNAcentral.
UACGUAGGGGGCUAGCGUUGUCCGGAAUCAUUGGGCGUAAAGCGCGUGUAGGCGGCCCGGUAAGUCUGCUGUGAAAGUCGGGGGCUCAACCCUCGGAUGCCGGUGGAUACUGUCGGGCUUGAGUACGGAAGAGGCGAGUGGAAUUCCUGGUGUAGCGGUGAAAUGCGCAGAUAUCAGGAGGAACACCUAUUGCGAAGGCAGCUCGCUGGGACGUGACUGACGCUGAGACGCGAAAGCGUGGGGAGCAAACAGG